Molecule: ribosomal RNA, 468 nt
Filed under: uncultured bacterium
Lineage: Bacteria
Description: partial 16S ribosomal RNA
Rfam family: Bacterial small subunit ribosomal RNA
Source: RNAcentral
GACGAACGCUGGCGGCGUGCUUAACACAUGCAAGUCGAACGGAAAGGCCCUGCUUUUGUGGGGUGCUCGAGUGGCGAACGGGUGAGUAACACGUGAGUAACCUGCCCUUGACUUUGGGAUAACUUCAGGAAACUGGGGCUAAUACCGGAUAGGAGCUCCUGCUGCAUGGUGGGGGUUGGAAAGUUUCGGCGGUUGGGGAUGGACUCGCGGCCUAUCAGCUUGUUGGUGGGGUAGUGGCUUACCAAGGCUUUGACGGGUAACCGGCCUGAGAGGGUGACCGGCCACAUUGGGACUGAGAUACGGCCCAGACUCCUACGGGAGGCAGCAGUGGGGAAUAUUGCACAAUGGGCGGAAGCCUGAUGCAGCAACGCCGCGUGCGGGAUGACGGCCUUCGGGUUGUAAACCGCUUUCGCCUGUGACGAAGCGUGAGUGACGGUAAUGGGUAAAGAAGCACCGGCUAACUACGUG